UAGGGAAUCUUCCACAAUGGACGAAAGUCUGAUGGAGCAACGCCGCGUGAGUGAAGAAGGGUUUCGGCUCGUAAAACUCUGUUGUUAAAGAAGAACAUAUCUGAGAGUAACUGUUCAGGUAUUGACGGUAUUUAACCAGAAAGCCACGGCUAACUACGAGCCAG
Molecule: ribosomal RNA, 164 nt
Filed under: uncultured bacterium
Lineage: Bacteria
Description: partial 16S ribosomal RNA
Rfam family: Bacterial small subunit ribosomal RNA
Source: RNAcentral